This is a long non-coding RNA of Hevea brasiliensis (rubber tree), 334 nucleotides long. RefSeq lists it as uncharacterized. The record is from RefSeq and is a predicted model, not a curated record. The transcript is spliced from 2 exons. Lineage: Eukaryota; Viridiplantae; Streptophyta; Magnoliopsida; Malpighiales; Euphorbiaceae.
CAUUUAUCCAAAGGCAAAGACAGUUUUGUCGAUGAGAAGUUAUUAAAGAAGUAUGACACUGAACAAAUGGAUAGAAUGAUUGCUUGUGCUUUAGCAUGUGUACGUGGUGAUCCUCAAAAUCGACCACAAAUGAGUAAGAUACUUGAAGUUCUAAAAGGACAUAGCAGUCUGGAGACUUUGGAUGUUCGUUGAGAAGAGAUCACAACUGGACCGAGCACCUUGAUGAUGUAAUAUAUAUAAUAUUGUUUCUAAAUCCGAAAACUUUACAAGAGUGUAACAUGUAAUUUAAAAGAGUGUAUCAUAUAAUUUAAAAGAGUACUUAAAAAAUUUCAUA